This is a long non-coding RNA of Manis pentadactyla (Chinese pangolin), 1030 nucleotides long. RefSeq lists it as uncharacterized. The record is from RefSeq and is a predicted model, not a curated record. Lineage: Eukaryota; Metazoa; Chordata; Mammalia; Pholidota; Manidae. The transcript is spliced from 2 exons.
CACAGCAGGAUGCCGGCACUGCCCUGAAGAGAGAGGAAUAUUCUCCAGAGACCUAGAGCUCGUACCGUUCCAGUGGCUCCCCCGUCUCUCUCUCAGUUCCGGUCGCCCUAACCUACUCCUUUUAGUUUCUCCUUGGGGUUCUCAGUCUGCAGUCCUUUCCCAGCAGUGUCACCUCACAGACGCGUGUUCCCCGCUGAGCAGAAGGGCUGUACUCGGUGCUGUCGCCUGUGUCUCCUGCGGAGCAUGCCUACUGCAUCUGAUAGUGUCAAAUCCCGGAUUUCUCGCCUCUUUCCACAGCGGAGAGGUCGUUUGGGGCCACACCAUUCAUCAGCAGGGCAGUGCCCCCCAGGAGCAGCACUCCUGCCCUCCCAGUAAUCUUGAGGGGGCAGAUGUGGGCUCCGUUUCCCCUGCAGGCACCAGCUCGCUGCCGAGCCCUCCCUCCCCCUCCCUUCUCUCCACCCCAUCCUGCCCUUCACGCGUUUGAAAGCCCUGCGUGGAAGCUGGACGCCGUUCCCUUGUUUGGCCGUGCUCGCGCGCUCCGCCGGGCCCCGUGGCGGCUGGCGUUUGUGGGGGCACCUCGGGGCCCUGCCCUGUGCGGUGGCCUCCGGGUCGGAGAGAAUAAGCAGCCCCAGGGAGCCUUGCCAAACUCAGCAGACGUUUUUGAUUGAAUUUAAUUAAAGGGUGUGUGCUGAAGAGAAAAAGAUUCUGAGUAUCUUAUUUGAGAAGAAAAAUAUCAAUACUGAAAGGGAGGAAAGAAAGACCCCAGCGCCAGGGCGCGUUACUGUCUCCUAGAGUUAGGGGAUGUCUCUAAACUUGGUCUGUCAUGGUGGUCGGGGGAGAACGAAUUCUGGGAACAUCUGAGGCUGCUUUUUACCAAGCAAAUGUAUCAGGAGCCCCGGAAAGAGGCUUAAGAACGUUGCCACCAGUCUCCCUGUAUCCAUUACUGGCCCCACAUCCUGGGAAAUGUGUCUACCAGCUGUCAUUCCUCCAGGCUUACAGAAGGUCUUCAAUAAAGGGUUUAUUGCACCAA